UCCUACGGGAGGCAGCAGUGGGGAAUAUUGCACAAUGGGGGAAACCCUGAUGCAGCGACGCCGCGUGAGUGAAGAAGUAUUUCGGUAUGUAAAGCUCUAUCAGCAGGGAAGAGGAAAGACGGUACCUGACUAAGAAGCCCCGGCUAACUACGUGCCAGCAGCCGCGGUAAUACGUAGGGGGCAAGCGUUAUCCGGAUUUACUGGGUGUAAAGGGAGCGUAGACGGCUGUGCAAGUCUGAAGUGAAAGCCCAGGGCUCAACCCUGGGACUGCUUUGGAAACUGGGGAGCUAGAGUGCUGGAGAGGG
RNAcentral lists this ribosomal RNA (305 nucleotides) under uncultured bacterium. RNAcentral's name for it is "bacterial SSU rRNA". It matches the Rfam family "Bacterial small subunit ribosomal RNA", at positions 337 to 658 of the family's 1533-position model. The record is from RNAcentral.